CAGUAGCCGCGGUAACACCGAGGGUGCAAGCGUUAAUCGGAAUUACUGGGCGUAAAGCGCGCGUAGGUGGUUUGUUAAGUUGGAUGUGAAAUCCCCGGGCUCAACCUGGGAACUGCAUCCAAAACUGGCAGGCUAGAGUAGGGCAGAGGGUGGUGGAAUUUCCUGUGUAGCGGUGAAAUGCGUAGAUAUAGGAAGGAACACCAGUGGCGAAGGCGACCACCUGGGCUCAUACUGACACUGAGGUGCGAAAGCGUGGGGAGCAAACAGGAUUAGAUACCCGUGUAGUCCCUGUCUCUUAUAC
Molecule: ribosomal RNA, 301 nt
Filed under: uncultured bacterium
Lineage: Bacteria
Description: partial 16S ribosomal RNA
Rfam family: Bacterial small subunit ribosomal RNA
Source: RNAcentral